AUUGAACGCUGGCGGCAUGCCUUACACAUGCCAGUCGAACGGCAGCACGGGUGCUUGCCCCUGGUGGCGAGUGGCGAACGGGUGAGUAAUACAUCGGAACAUGUCCUGUAGUGGGGGAUAGCCCGGCGAAAGCCGGAUUAAUACCGCAUACGAUCUACGGAUGACAGCGGGGGACCUUCGGGCCUCGCGCUAUAGGGUUGGCCGAUGGCUGAUUAGCUAGUUGGGGGGGUAAAGGCCUACCAAGGCGACGAGCAGUAGCUGGUCUGAGAGGGCGACCAGCCACACUGGGACUGAGACACGGCCCAGACUCCUACGGGAGGCAGCAGUGGGGAAUUUUGGACAAUGGGCGAAAGCCUGAUCCAGCAAUGCCGCGUGUGUGAAGAAGGCCUUCGGGUUGUAAAGCACUUUUGUCCGGAAAGAACUCCUUGGCUCUAAUACAGUCGGGGGAUGACGGUACCGGAAGAAUAAGCACCGGCUAACUACGUG
Molecule: ribosomal RNA, 486 nt
Filed under: uncultured bacterium
Lineage: Bacteria
Description: partial 16S ribosomal RNA
Rfam family: Bacterial small subunit ribosomal RNA
Source: RNAcentral